AGUUGGGUUAAGUCCCGCAACGAGCGCAACCCUCGUCCUUAGUUGCCAGCAUUCAGUUGGGCACUCUAGGGAGACUGCCGGUGACAAACCGGAGGAAGGUGGGGAUGACGUCAAGUCAUCAUGCGCCUUACGCCCUGGACUACACACGUACUACAAUGCUGUGGACAAAGAGUUGCCAACGCGCGAGGGCGAGCCAAUCUCUUAAACCACGGCUCAGUUCAGAUUGCAGGCUGCGACUCGCCUGCCUGAAGGCGGAAUCGCUAGUAAUCGCAGGUCAGCAUACUGCGGUGAAUACGUUCCCGCGCCUUGUACACACCGCCCGUCACACCAUGGGCGUUGGCCAUGCCCGAAGUCGUUACUCUAACCCGCAAGGGAGGGGGACGCCUAAGGCAGGGCUGAUGACUGGGGUGAAGUCGUAAGAAGGUAGCCGU
RNAcentral lists this ribosomal RNA (431 nucleotides) under uncultured Synechococcus sp. Its description in RNAcentral is "bacterial SSU rRNA". It matches the Rfam family "Bacterial small subunit ribosomal RNA", at positions 1073 to 1503 of the family's 1533-position model. Lineage: Bacteria; Bacillati; Cyanobacteriota; Cyanophyceae; Synechococcales; Synechococcaceae. The record is from RNAcentral.